GAUGAAGAACGUAGCGAAAUGCGAUAAGUAAUGCGAAUUGCAGAAUUCAGUGAAUCAUCGAAUCUUUGAACGCACAUUGCGCCCGCUAGUAUUCUGGCGGGCAUGCCUGUCUGAGCGUCAUUUCAACCCUCGCCCCCGGCUUUUGCUGGGAGCGGUGUUGGGGAUCGGCCGCCCGUCACUGGGAGGCCGGCCCCGAAAUAGAGUGGCGACCACGCCGUGUGCUCCUCUGCGUAGUAGUAAAUCACCUCGCAGGCGGACAGCGGUGCGGCCUGCCGUAAAACCCCCAACUCUUUCUGGUUGACCUCAGAUCAGGUAGGAAUACCCGCUGAACUUAAGCAUAUCAUAAGGGAGGA
RNAcentral lists this unclassified non-coding RNA (353 nucleotides) under soil metagenome. Its description in RNAcentral is "partial contains 5.8S ribosomal RNA, internal transcribed spacer 2, and large subunit ribosomal RNA". The stretch from base 1 to 120 matches the Rfam family "5.8S ribosomal RNA", at positions 35 to 154 of the family's 154-position model. The record is from RNAcentral.